This 407-nucleotide ribosomal RNA is filed under the name uncultured bacterium. RNAcentral's name for it is "bacterial SSU rRNA". It matches the Rfam family "Bacterial small subunit ribosomal RNA", at positions 335 to 734 of the family's 1533-position model. The record is from RNAcentral.
ACUCCUACGGGAGGCAGCAGUGGGGAAUAUUGCACAAUGGGGGAAACCCUGAUGCAGCCAUGCCGCGUGUGUGAAGAAGGCCUUCGGGUUGUAAAGCACUUUCAGUAGGGAGGAAGGUAGUGUAGUUAACACCUGCAUUAUUUGUACGUUACCUACAGAAGAAGCACCGGCUAACUCCGUGCCAGCAGCCGCGGUAAGUACGGAGGGUGCGAGCGUUAAUCGGAAUUACUGGGCGUAAAGCGCAUGCAGGCGGCCUGUUAAGUCAGAUGUGAAAGCCCGGGGCUUAACCUCGGAAUUGCAUUUGAAACUGGCAGGCUAGAGUCUUGUAGAGGGGUUAGAAUUUCAGGUGUAGCGGUGAAAUGCGUAGAGAUCUGAAGGAAUACCAGUGGCGAAGGCGGCCCCUGGAC